GAAGGUAUAGCUCAAGUGGUAGACUGUGUGCUUAACAUGCACAAGGCCCUGGGUUCAAUCCCCAGUACCUCCU
Molecule: transfer RNA, 73 nt
Organism: Camelus ferus (Wild Bactrian camel)
Lineage: Eukaryota; Metazoa; Chordata; Mammalia; Artiodactyla; Camelidae
Rfam family: tRNA
About the family: Transfer RNA (tRNA) molecules are approximately 80 nucleotides in length. Their secondary structure includes four short double-helical elements and three loops (D, anti-codon, and T loops).
Source: Rfam